GUGGAAUGUGAUGAUUUGAUACAUGUUUAUAUUGCAAAAUGGUUACUAUAAUAGGAUUUGUUAACAUAUCCAUCACCUUACAUAAUUGUCAUUUUUUUGUAUAUGUGGUAACAGCUUUCAAGAUCUACUCUUUAGCAACUUUCAAGUCCGUUAGCUAUAGUCACCAUUCGGUAUAUUAGAUCCCUAGAACUUAUACCUGAAAGUUUAUGCCCUUUAACCAAUAUAUCCCCAUUUCCACCCCCCUCCAGCUCCUGGUAACCACCAUUUUACUCUGUUUCUUUGAGUUUGCCUUUUUUAGAUUCCACAGACAAGUGAGCUCAUAUUUCUCUCUCCUUGUAUGACUUACCUCACUGAGUGUAAUGCACUCAGGGUUCAUCCAUGUUGUUACAAAGGCAGAGUUUCCUUCUUUUCUGUGGCUGAAUAAUAUUCUUUACAUAUAAUUUUCUUUAUCUGUUCUUCCAUCAAUGGGUAUUUACAUUGUUUUCAUAUCUUGGCUAUUGUGAAUAAUGCUGCAGUGAACACAUGGCUAUAGUUACCUCUUCAAGGUAGAGAUUUCAUUUCCAGAAGUGGAACUGCUGGAUCAAAUGGUAGUUCUAUUUUUAACUUUUUGAGGAACCUCCCUAUUAUUUUCCAUAGUGGCUGCAUCAGUUUACAUUCCUACCAAGACUGUACAAGGGUCAUAUUUAUAAUGCAUAAUUGAGAUAGAUAUCAUUAAUGGUUGGCAGGGCUUUCACAUUGAUUCCCUGACCUGUGGAUUAAGAACCAGAACGAUAGGAAGAGUUAUAUGGAUGCCCUGAAACUAUUCCUAUGCUUCGCCAUGGUAAUAAACCAGAAGGAUGUGCCUGAUGUCAAACCUUAUCUCUUCCAGAAAGCCGGAGGAAUUUUCUGCUUCCUAGAAAGUGAAAUUUCUGGAUUCCAUCAUUAGGUUUUAAUGUUCCACAAACUCCCAAGUGCCUUGGCAUCAGUAUUUAUUUCUAUAAAGAAAGACCACUGGUGUGAGAAGCUUGUACAACACUUUCAUGUAACUCAGGGUAUGCCCGUCUGGCAGGACACCUAAAGCUGAUUGUAAUACUCUACUGAGGUGGUUCUUUGAAGCUUUGACAUCAGGCUAGCCCCAGCUUUUGAUGACUGGUGGAGAAGAGGCUACUUGUUCCUACACAGUUAGCUUGUAGCAAGUCUCUCUGGGACUCAGGAUUGUAAGAAAAGUGGUCACUGGCACAAAAUGAUGACUUUGAUCACCAACUCUUUAUGUAAUGUGAUCAUCCCUGCAAUUCAUGUAGGGACAGACACCUGAGAGCUUUAAAAUGACAUUAUUAUUUUUAUUAGAUGACGCAUUGAAAUGAAAUUUAUUUACUUUUAGAAUCCCAAAUGAAUUAAGCCUGGUAAUUUGCAUAUAUAUAAAGUGGUUAUAAACCACAUUUCUUCCUUCCUUUGCUUUCCAGUAUAGUCCUGAAAAACCAGUCUUUGAGGAGUUAAUUUUUAGUGCCUAGCUAAGGUUAGCAAGUGUUUUCAUGUGGCCCAUCUAGAACGAUGAUGAUGAUGAUAAAUACUAACAGGGCACUUAUUAUGGGCCAGUGUUGUUCUAAGUGCUUUACAUAUAUAAAAUCAGUUGAGUCUUUGCAACCUUAUAAGGUAGGUCUGAUGUCAUCCUCUUUUUACAGAUAGUCUUUUCUUCAUCAUUUUUUAAAAGAUUUUAUUAAUUUACUCAGAAGAGACACAGCCUCUAGCACACCAGCCGUGGCAUAAACUUCUUACACUGAAGCUUGGGGCUCCCCAGACACCCAGGUGGAAGCUGCGACUCUUCUUGUGAACAAGCCUCAGGGAUUUCAGAACAAUACUUCUACCACAUGAAAUAAGUCACUGAAGCCAGCUCAGAUGCAAAGCGAGGAAACAAUAUCUGCUUCCUGCUCCUGACGAGAAGCCUCCAGCAGGGAAAAAGAACCACAGGCUGCUGUGACUUCGUCCUUCAUCUUUCCCUAGAAAAAUUGCUAGAGAAGCUAAGGAGUCCAGAACCUCCUGCAACUGGAUGCAGCAUCUUAUGUGGAGACUCAGUUUCUAGAAAGAAGAGCCAUCGCUUUCAUCAGCGGGAGUGGGUGGAGGUCUGUGGAGCAGAUGAGAAUAACAUUCAUGAGAAUUUAAGUUCUGUGCAAAAAUUUUGUUUAAUGGACACCAACUGAAUGUGCCAAGUUUCUACUUUUGAUUGAAUUCUUGGAGACUUUGAUAAAUAUUCAUUGAUCCUGGAGUCUGUUUCUAAUUUUUAAAAACUGAGUAAUAUAUUCUAGAAAUACUAGUUGUUUUUUUUAAGAUUUUAUUUAUUUAUUCAUGAGAGACACACACAGGAGGAG
Molecule: long non-coding RNA, 2345 nt
Organism: Canis lupus familiaris (dog)
Lineage: Eukaryota; Metazoa; Chordata; Mammalia; Carnivora; Canidae
Exons: 4
Source: RefSeq, a predicted model, not a curated record